GGGCGUGUAGUUCAGUGGUUAGAACGCCACUCUUAUAAAGUGGAGGCCGAUGGUCCGAUCCCAUCCACGCCCACCA
Molecule: transfer RNA, 76 nt
Filed under: Candidatus Pacearchaeota archaeon
Lineage: Archaea; Nanobdellati
Also listed under: 1 other name
Description: tRNA-Ile
Rfam family: tRNA
About the family: Transfer RNA (tRNA) molecules are approximately 80 nucleotides in length.
Source: RNAcentral